This 253-nucleotide ribosomal RNA is filed under the name uncultured bacterium. RNAcentral describes it as "partial 16S ribosomal RNA". It matches the Rfam family "Bacterial small subunit ribosomal RNA", at positions 524 to 776 of the family's 1533-position model. The record is from RNAcentral.
UACGUAGGGUGCAAGCGUUGUCCGGAAUUAUUGGGCGUAAAGAGCUCGUAGGCGGUCUGUUGCGUCGGCUGUGAAAACCCGGGGCUCAACUCCGGGCCUGCAGCCGAUACGGGCAGACUAGAGUUCGGCAGGGGAGACUGGAAUUCCUGGUGUAGCGGUGAAAUGCGCAGAUAUCAGGAGGAACACCGGUGGCGAAGGCGGUUCUCUGGGCAUGAUCUGACGCUGAAGAGCGAAAGUGUGGGGAGCGAACAGG